Molecule: ribosomal RNA, 1235 nt
Filed under: metagenome
Description: bacterial LSU rRNA
Rfam family: Bacterial large subunit ribosomal RNA
Source: RNAcentral
UGAGUACGAGAUGCUACGGCAUCGAAGCAGUCUAUGUCAUACUUCCAAGAAAAGCUUGCAAUGUCAUAAACAAAUAAUGCCUGUACCAUAACCGACACAGGUGGGUAGGUAGAGUAUACUAAGGGGCGCGAGAUAACUCUCUCUAAGGAACUCGGCAAAAUGACUCCGUAACUUCGGGAGAAGGAGUGCCUUAUUUUUAUAAGGUUGCAAUAACAAGAUCCAAGCAACUGUUUACCAAAAACACAGGUCUCCGCUAAGUCGUAAGACGAUGUAUGGGGGCUGACGCCUGCCCAGUGCCAGAAGGUUAAAGAAGUUGGUUAGCAUUAGCGAAGCUGAUAACUGAAGCCCUGGUGAACGGCGGCCGUAACAAUAACGGUCCUAAGGUAGCGAAAUUCCUUGUCGGGUAAGUUCCGACCCGCACGAAAGGCGUAAUGAUUUGGAUACUGUCUCGGAGAGGGGCUCGGUGAAAUAGACUUGUCUGUGAAGAUGCGGACUACCUGCACCUGGACAGAAAGACCCUAUGAAGCUUUACUGUAACUUGAGAUUGAAAUUGGACUUUAUCUGCCAGUAUAGGUGGGAGACGUUGAAAAUAUUCUUGCGGGAAUAUUGGAGUCAUCAGUGAGAUACCACUCUUAUAAUGUUAGAUUUCUAACUUUGUAUCAUUAUCUGGUCAAAGAACAGUUUCAGGCGGGCAGUUUGACUGGGGCGGUCGCCUCCCAAACGGUAACGGAGGCGCACAAAGGUUUCCUCUGAACGUGUAGAAAUCGUAUCUAGAGUGUAAAGGCAUAAGGAAGCUUGACUGUGAGACCUACAAGUCGAGCAGGGACGAAAGUCGGUCUUAGUGAUCUGACGGUGCUGAGUGGAAAGGCCGUCACUCAACGGAUAAAAGUUACUCUAGGAUAACAGGCUGAUCUCCCCCAAGAGUUCACAUCGACGGGGAGGUUUGGCACCUCGAUGUCGGCUCAUCGCAUCCUGGGGCGGUAGUACGUCCCAAGGGUUGGGCUGUUCGCCCAUGAAAGCGGUACGCGAGCUGGGUUCAGAACGUCGUGAGACAGUUCGGUCCAUAUCCGGUGUAGGCGUUAGAAUAUUGAGAGGAGCCUUCUUUAGUACGAGAGGACCGAGAAGGACAUACCUCUGGUGUACCAGUUAUCGUGCCAACGGUAAACGCUGGGUAGCCAUGUAUGGAGAGGAUAACCGCUGAAAGCAUCUAAGUGGGAAGCCCACCUCAAGAUAAG